GCCUUCUAGGUCUGGUAAUUGGAAUGAGUACAAUCUAAAUCCCUUAACGAGUAACCAUUGGAGGGCAAGUCUGGUGCCAGCAGCCGCGGUAAUUCCAGCUCCAAUAGCGUAUAUUUAAGUUGUUGCAGUUAAAAAGCUCGUAGUUGGAUUUCGGGUGGGUGCUAGCGGUCCGGCUCUGCUGUGUACUGCUAGUGCCUACCUUUCUGUCGGGGACGGGCUCUUGGACUUAACUGUCCGGGACUCGGAGUCGACGAGGUUA
Molecule: ribosomal RNA, 259 nt
Filed under: uncultured Chlorophyta
Lineage: Eukaryota; Viridiplantae; Chlorophyta
Description: partial 18S ribosomal RNA
Rfam family: Eukaryotic small subunit ribosomal RNA
Source: RNAcentral